Molecule: ribosomal RNA, 451 nt
Filed under: uncultured bacterium
Lineage: Bacteria
Description: partial 16S ribosomal RNA
Rfam family: Bacterial small subunit ribosomal RNA
Source: RNAcentral
AGCGAACGCUGGCGGCAGGCUUAACACAUGCAAGUCGAGCGGGCGUAGCAAUACGUCAGCGGCAGACGGGUGAGUAACGCGUGGGAACGUACCUUUUGGUUCGGAACAACACAGGGAAACUUGUGCUAAUACCGGAUAAGCCCUUACGGGGAAAGAUUUAUCGCCGAAAGAUCGGCCCGCGUCUGAUUAGCUAGUUGGUAGGGUAAUGGCCUACCAAGGCGACGAUCAGUAGCUGGUCUGAGAGGAUGAUCAGCCACAUUGGGACUGAGACACGGCCCAAACUCCUACGGGAGGCAGCAGUGGGGAAUAUUGGACAAUGGGGGCAACCCUGAUCCAGCCAUGCCGCGUGAGUGAUGAAGGCCCUAGGGUUGUAAAGCUCUUUUGUGCGGGAAGAUAAUGACGGUACCGCAAGAAUAAGCCCCGGCAAACUCUGUGCCAGCCGCCGCAGUAA